This 240-nucleotide unclassified non-coding RNA is filed under the name soil metagenome. Its description in RNAcentral is "partial contains 5.8S ribosomal RNA, internal transcribed spacer 2, and large subunit ribosomal RNA". The record is from RNAcentral.
AACCAUAGAAACCUGCGGAGUACCUGCGGAAGGAUCAUUACACAAUAAACAUAUGAAGGCUGCACCGCCAACAGGCGGCAAGGCUGGAGUAUUUUAUUACCCUUGUCUUUUGCGCACUUGUUGUUUCCUGGGCGGGUUCGCCCGCCUCCAGGACCACAUGAUAAACCUUUUUUAUGCAGUUGCAAUCAGCGUCAGUACAACAAAUGUAAAUCAUUUACAACUUUUAACAACGGAUCUCAG